Molecule: long non-coding RNA, 3493 nt
Organism: Diorhabda carinulata
Lineage: Eukaryota; Metazoa; Arthropoda; Insecta; Coleoptera; Chrysomelidae
Exons: 4
Source: RefSeq, a predicted model, not a curated record
UGUGAACAUUCUUAUCUCUGGUAUCAUUAGAGAAAUGUCUAAUAGUGAAUCAGAUUUAGAAGAUAUGUCUUAUACACCGCCAGACAUUUUAAAAUUAGCGGCUAGCGCUACAGAAAAUCUCCUACCUAACAAGUCAAAAGGUAACCUUAAUUAUGGGGCUAAUGGGAGCGUGCCGAUCUAAUGAAUAUAUUCUAUGAAAACUGAAGAUAUAGAAGAUUACAAUCGAGCUCUUACCUUUCACAAAAACAAAGAUUCCUAGAUCAUUUACUGUAUCAGGUGAAUUUUACGAUAUUUGCAAAAAGUAUAUAAAUCUUCGCUCAUCUCAAGCUAAAUGCCCAUUAUUAUUUUUAAAUUAUCAAAAUGACAAAUGUACUAUUCAAAGAGUAGGCAUUAACAAAUUAUCUUCUAUAGGAAAGCACAUUGCUAUGUUUUUAAAAUUAAAAAAUCCCGAAUUAUACACGGGACAUUCGUUCCAAAGAUCAUCUGCAACCAUUUGCGUUAGCACAGGAGGUGACAUUACAGCAGUAAAGCAGUUAGGGGGAUGGAAAUCAACCACAGUUGCCGAAGGUUAUAUAGAUGACAACAUAACCAAUAAAAUAAAAAGAGGAAAUCAGAUUUCAAACAAAAUUAACAAACAUUAUACUAGCCCUAAUUACAAUGAAAAACCUUGUACUAGCUCUAGUGCCAGUCCAAGUCCCAUGAUUUUCAAUCAGACUCAGAUGAUUAACAAAGUUAUCUCUGGCAUGAAUUUUAACAAUUGUAAUGUAACUAUUAAUAAUUAUUAUGUAAGUAAAUAAACAUAAAUUUCCUGUGAAUUAAUAACGUUACCAUAUCAUAGCUUGGCAUACCCUGUCAAGGAUAUGCAGACGACAUAGUCAUCUAUGCAAAAGGAUACUUAGAGAAUAUACUCUGUGCCAUAGUUCAAAGAGGACUCAAAUAUACAAAAAGGUGGUAUCGAUCGGUAGUGCUAAAUGUCAAUCCGAACAAGACCUAGCUAAUUUCCUUCACUAGAAAGAAAAAACUCAACCUCAAGCCCAUCAAGCUAGACGGGCAAGUAUUCAAGUGGAAAAUAGAGAGAAAUAUCUGGGACUCACACUUUUUGAAAGGAGUGGGAUUAAUUGAUCAGACUAGGUCCUGCAGAACCGCAGCAAGGAAGGGAGACACAAUAGAUCCUUUGGGUCGCAGUGUAUACGAGACCUCAAAUUCAUACCCUACAUACAUAGGUAUGUGAGGCAAUGGUAGAUUUUGCAUAAAAUCAAAUGUUAAAGCUACUACAUCAUCUUAUUCCUUACAAAGAUCUUAAUUGAUGAAAUUUUGUUGUAAAACUUCUUGUCACGUUUUUUAUGGAUUAAUAACUAAGCUUCUACCGAACCUGUUGCAUUUUUUUUUAAAUUUUUGUUGAUAGUUCUUCGCAAGUUAGCAAGUUAUACGCGUGUCGACCAAAUCUGAGGGAAAAGUUUUCAUUAAAGUAUUGUAAGUCAAAUUUGUACUUUACACCGAGAUCUGGAUAUUUUUCGUUAAACAUUGAAUGAAUUUUUUUAACAUCCAAUCAUGCAUCAAGAUAUUCAAUAUUUUUUCUUGUAUAAUGUGCCUUUUUCCUAGGAGAGCAGAGGAUGUAUAUUUUUUGGUAUAUUUCAGGAGGCACUGUAUUAGAUAGACAGAUGCUCUCUUGCAAACUUUAACUUUAUCAGUUUGUUUUAAAACAUAGAAUUGAAAAGCAUUUUGCCUCUGUGUACCAUUUUCUUUUCGAGGACGCCUCUGUUUUAUUUCUAACUUAUCAAUAAGUGUUUGAAGAAAUGUAUCCUGUUCAUUCUUUGUUAAAAAAAGUUUAUUUUUGAAAUGUAAAAGACCAUAUCUUCUUGGUCCAAAUUCACAUUCUUACAUCUGCAAUAAAUAAGAGAUAUAUUAGGUUUAUAUAGGCCUCAAUAAAGAAAAACUUAAAUUGAAUAAGUUAUGGUAAAGUAAAGUUCAUGGUAAACUUGCCUACAAUUUUCACCUGUAAAUCUCGGAGCUAUAUGUUAUCCUCGAUAAUUAGUAUAUGUCUGUCCUUUAACUUUAUAAUUUAUUAUAACAUUCCUUUAUACUUUGCAGUUUCAUUUAAAUACAUUUAAUCUAAAAUUACUUUUCGCACAAAAUAACUUAGUAAAAGACGUAUAUGACAUUAAUGGCGAUGGUUUACGAAAAAUUGUUGAACCAAUCAAAACAAAGCAACUUUAAAAACGUCCAGCUGUCAUAAACUCUGCUGCCAUCUAGUGGUGCAUCCAAAAACCUCUUAUGUCACACUAAUGUUUAUGCAAUGAAUGUAUUUCACGCGGUAUUAUUGAAAGAGGAAGGAAUAUAUUGACUUACAGGGUUUUUAUCCAGAAUACGCAUCUCUAUUUAAGAAACUAUUUCCAGUAAAAAAAGCAUUUUAGAAAAAACAAGUGACUUAAGAGGUUUUUGAAAUGACAGAUUUAAUUGUAUUUAGAGAGCACUUAUAUUAGAAAUGGUGGAGGUCUCCUAUCGCGUGACUCAAUUUACAAUUUUUUGAACACAUAUUUUCUACAAGCUAUCUUCUUCUAUCAAUAGAAACCAAACAACAAAAUAAGAUUCAUUUUCACACGACCAAAUACAAAAUAUACGUAAUAGCUUUUAUAAAUUGAUAGUAGUGAUCGUAAAAAGAGAAUUUAACGCGAGCUUUAACUAUUCAUUUUAUUUUACAUCGGUAAGUACGAAUAUCAUCAACUUGUAAGCUUUGUAGAAUUUUCAAAAUUGCAUCAAACAAAUGCCUGAUUAUACUUGUAACUAUUUUCAGAAAAUGGCUGGAAAACACUUCAUUUCACGAACGUUUGAUAUGAAUUUGAUUGAGCAGUUUGAGAUGGAAAAGAAGCAACGGAAGACCUUUUCAACCUCUUUCAUUUGUUCAGGAGAGAGUGGCAACUGCGCUGAAAAUAUCUGUAAAAAUGGUAUGUUCUGUUAAGAAAGGAAGGUAAAAAUUCCAACUUUCCCAACAACACUCAGUCGGAGACCUCAAUUAAAACUAAAAACAGAGGAUGUACCCGAGGGAACCAAAAUGGCGGUACGGAAUACCUUAUAAAACUUACAAAAUGAAAGCGUACGUAAACCAGGAGGUAGAGACUUGUAGAAAAUGCCAGUUUUAUGUUUUCCUUUAAGUCAUCGUCGUGAGAUUAGCACGGUGAAAUAUUUACAAAAUGGAUUACAAUACAGUUAACUCCUAAUUAAAGAGGACCAUUGUUAAUAGUAAUGGAUAAUGCGCUACUUGGUUAAAAGCCUUCAAUGUUGAGUUUCAUGAAAAUCUUUCAAGACCACGAAGUAUAGAUAUGUGUUACAUAAUAUAGCAUUAGAUGGCUAGUGUAUGGUCUCCUAUAUCAACUACAUACACAUGACCACUAGGUGGCAGCAGAACGUCAAGUAGAAACGUCAGUGGCACUUCUCCGCUUAUCUUUGAUCUUGUAAAUGAUAUAUGUUUCAUUAACAAAAUAGUAUUUAAAAA